RNAcentral lists this ribosomal RNA (460 nucleotides) under uncultured bacterium. RNAcentral describes it as "partial 16S ribosomal RNA". It matches the Rfam family "Bacterial small subunit ribosomal RNA", at positions 338 to 795 of the family's 1533-position model. The record is from RNAcentral.
CCUACGGGUGGCAGCAGUGAGGAAUAUUGGUCAAUGGGCGGAAGCCUGAACCAGCCAAGCCGCGUGAGGGAAGACGGCCCUAUGGAUUGUAAACAUCUUUUGUCAGGGGGCAACGACGGCUACGUGUACCUGGACUGAGAGACGCUGAAGAAAAAGCACGGGCAAACUCCUUCCCAGCAGCCGCGGUAAGCCGGAGGAUGGGAGCGUGAUCGGGAUUUAUUGGGUUUAAGGGGUGCGUAGGCGGGUUAUAAGGUAGGCGGGAAAAUCGUGGGGCUCAACCCCACCAAGCCGUUGAAACUGGUGGUCUUGAGUUGGCGAGAGGUAUGCGGAAUGCGUGGUGUAGCGGUGAAAUGCAUAGAUAUCACGCAGAACUCCGAUUGCGAAGGCAGCCUACCGGCGGCCGACUGACGCUGAGGCACGAAAGCGUGGGUAUCGAACAGGAUUAGAUACCCUAGUAGUC